UAAAAAAAGGUAAGCUACUAAGAGCGAAUGGUGGAUGCCUUGACUGGUAAAGGCGAUGAAGGACGUACUAGACUGCGAUAAGCUACGGGGAGCUGUCAAGAAGCUUUGAUCCGUAGAUUUCCGAAUGGGGCAACCCAAUGUAUAGAGAUAUACAUUACCUAUAUAGGAGCGAACGAGGGGAAUUGAAACAUCUUAGUACCCUCAGGAAAAGAAAUCAAUAGAGAUUGCGUCAGUAGCGGCGAGCGAAAGCGCAAGAGGGCAAACCCAGUGCUUGCACUGGGGGUUGUAGGACUGCAAUGUGCAAGAGCUGAGUUUAGCAGAACAUUCUGGAAAGUAUAGCCAUAGAGGGUGAUAGUCCCGUAUGCGAAAAACAAAGCUUAGCUAGCAGUAUCCUGAGUAGGGCGGGACACGAGGAAUCCUGUCUGAAUCCGGGUCGACCACGAUCCAACCCUAAAUACUAAUACCAGAUCGAUAGUGCACAAGUACCGUGAGGGAAAGGUGAAAAGAACUGAGGUGAUCAGAGUGAAAUAGAACCUGAAACCAUUUGCUUACAAUCAUUCAGAGCACUAUGUAGCAAUACAGUGUGAUGGACUGCCUUUUGCAUAAUGAGCCUGCGAGUUGUGGUGUCUGGCAAGGUUAAGCAAACGCGAAGCCGUAGCGAAAGCGAGUCUGAAUAGGGCGCUUAGUCAGAUGCUGCAGACCCGAAACGAAGUGAUCUAUCCAUGAGCAAGUUGAAGCUAGUGUAAGAACUAGUGGAGGACUGAACCCAUAGGCGUUGAAAAGCCCCGGGAUGACUUGUGGAUAGGGGUGAAAGGCCAAUCAAACUUCGUGAUAGCUGGUUCUCUCCGAAAUAUAUUUAGGUAUAGCGUUGUGUCGUAAUAUAAGGGGGUAGAGCACUGAAUGGGCUAGGGCAUACACCAAUGUACCAAACCCUAUCAAACUCCGAAUACCUUAUAUGUAAUCACAGCAGUCAGGCGGCGAGUGAUAAAAUCCGUCGUCAAGAGGGAAACAACCCAGACUACCAGCUAAGGUCCCUAAAUCUUACUUAAGUGGAAAACGAUGUGAAGUUACUUAAACAACCAGGAGGUUGGCUUAGAAGCAGCCAUCCUUUAAAGAAAGCGUAAUAGCUCACUGGUCUAGUGAUUUUGCGCGGAAAAUAUAACGGGGCUAAAGUAAGUACCGAAGCUGUAGACUUGCACACAACUUAGAUUAUUUAAGUUUAGAAUAAGUAGUUUAAGUUGUGUGCAAGUGGUAGGAGAGCGUUCUAUUUGCGUCGAAGGUAUACCGGUAAGGAGUGCUGGAGCGAAUAGAAGUGAGCAUGCAGGCAUGAGUAGCGAUAAUUAAUGUGAGAAUCAUUAACGCCGUAAACCCAAGGUUUCCUACGCGAUGCUCGUCAUCGUAGGGUUAGUCGGGUCCUAAGUCGAGUCCGAAAGGGGUAGACGAUGGCAAAUUGGUUAAUAUUCCAAUACCAACAUUAGUGUGCGAUGGAAGGACGCUUAGGGCUAAGGGGGCUAGCGGAUGGAAGUGCUAGUCUAAGGUCGUAGGAGGUUAUACAGGCAAAUCCGUAUAACAAUACUCCGAGAACUGAAAGGCUUUUUGAAGUCUUCGGAUGGAUAGAAGAACCCCUGAUGCCGUCGAGCCAAGAAAAGUUUCUAAGUUUAGCUAAUGUUGCCCGUACCGUAAACCGACACAGGUGGGUGGGAUGAGUAUUCUAAGGCGCGUGGAAGAACUCUCUUUAAGGAACUCUGCAAAAUAGCACCGUAUCUUCGGUAUAAGGUGUGGUUAGCUUCGUACUAGGAUUUACUCCGAAAGCGAAGAAACUUACAACAAAGAGUCCCUCCCGACUGUUUACCAAA
This 1856-nucleotide ribosomal RNA is filed under the name Campylobacter jejuni. RNAcentral's name for it is "partial 23S ribosomal RNA". It matches the Rfam family "Bacterial large subunit ribosomal RNA", at positions 1 to 1811 of the family's 2925-position model. The record is from RNAcentral. Lineage: Bacteria; Pseudomonadati; Campylobacterota; Epsilonproteobacteria; Campylobacterales; Campylobacteraceae.